AUCGGUAUGGGAUGGGGUCGCGUCCUAUCAGCUUGAUGGCGGGGUAACGGCCCACCAUGGCUUCGACGGGUAGCCGGCCUGAGAGGGCGACCGGCCACAUUGGGACUGAGAUACGGCCCAGACUCCUACGGGAGGCAGCAGUGGGGAAUAUUGCACAAUGGGCGCAAGCCUGAUGCAGCGACGCCGCGUGCGGGAUGACGGCCUUCGGGUUGUAAACCGCUUUUGACUGGGAGCAAGCCCUUCGGGGUGAGUGUACCUUUCGAAUAAGCACCGGCUAACUACGUGCCAGCAGCCGCGGUAAUACGUAGGGUGCAAGCGUUAUCCGGAAUUAUUGGGCGUAAAGGGCUCGUAGGCGGUUCGUCGCGUCCGGUGUGAAAGUCCAUCGCUUAACGGUGGAUCCGCGCCGGGUACGGGCGGG
Molecule: ribosomal RNA, 418 nt
Filed under: uncultured Bifidobacterium sp.
Lineage: Bacteria; Bacillati; Actinomycetota; Actinomycetes; Bifidobacteriales; Bifidobacteriaceae
Description: bacterial SSU rRNA
Rfam family: Bacterial small subunit ribosomal RNA
Source: RNAcentral